UGGGGAAUCUUCCGCAAUGGACGAAAGUCUGACGGAGCAACGCCGCGUGAGUGAAGAAGGUUUUCGGAUCGUAAAGCUCUUUCGUUAGGGACGAACGUGCUCUUUGUGAAUAAUGAGGAGUAAUGACGGUACCUAAAUAAGAAGCCACGGCUAACUACGUGCCAGCAGCCGCGGUAAUACGUAGGUGGCAAGCGUUGUCCGGAAUUAUUGGGCGUAAAGCGCGCGCAGGCGGGAUAUCAAGUCUGUCUUAAAAGUGCGAGGCUCAACCUCGUGAGGGGACAGAAACUGGUAUUCUUGAGUGUCGGAGAGGAAAGUGGAAUUCCAAGUGUAGCGGUGAAAUGCGUAGAGAUUUGGAAGAACACCAGUGGCGAAGGCGACUUUCUGGACGAUGUCUGACGCUGAGGCGCGAAAGCUAGGGGAGCGAACGG
RNAcentral lists this ribosomal RNA (428 nucleotides) under uncultured bacterium. RNAcentral's name for it is "bacterial SSU rRNA". It matches the Rfam family "Bacterial small subunit ribosomal RNA", at positions 355 to 775 of the family's 1533-position model. The record is from RNAcentral. RNAcentral also lists the same sequence under 1 other name.